AAAAGCAUAUAUAAUUAGAACCUAUAAUAAGAUUAAUUUAUAUAUAGACUAGGCUAUUUUUGGAGAGAGUGUGGAAAAGAUUUACCUUUAAGUUGUAUUUUUUUUACUUUUUUAAUAUAAUUAGUUUGUUUGGUAGGUUGUUAAAUGUUAGUAGGUUUUGUAUUUAAGUUCCAAGUUUGAUUUUUCUUCCCCUCACAAAUAUAUAUUUUUUAUUUCAUUUUGUUUUAAGCUUUUUAUAUUUUUAAUUAAUGUUUU
This 255-nucleotide long non-coding RNA is filed under the name Gossypium barbadense (sea-island cotton). RNAcentral describes it as "long non-coding RNA (GBAR_LNC003231)". The record is from RNAcentral. Lineage: Eukaryota; Viridiplantae; Streptophyta; Magnoliopsida; Malvales; Malvaceae.